GCGGCAGGCCUAACACAUGCAAGUCGAACGGUAGCACAGAGAGCUUGCUCUCGGGUGACGAGUGGCGGACGGGUGAGUAAUGUCUGGGAAACUGCCUGAUGGAGGGGGAUAACUACUGGAAACGGUGGCUAAUACCGCAUAACGUCGCAAGACCAAAGAGGGGGACCUUCGGGCCUCUUGCCAUCAGAUGUGCCCAGAUGGGAUUAGCUAGUUGGUGAGGUAACGGCUCACCAAGGCGACGAUCCCUAGCUGGUCUGAGAGGAUGACCAGCCACACUGGAACUGAGACACGGUCCAGACUCCUACGGGAGGCAGCAGUGGGGAAUAUUGCACAAUGGGCGCAAGCCUGAUGCAGCCAUGCCGCGUGUAUGAAGAAGGCCUUCGGGUUGUAAAGUACUUUCAGCGGGGAGGAAGGUGUUGUGGUUAAUAACCGCAGCAAUUGACGUUACCCGCAGAAGAAGCACCGGCUAACUCCGUGCCAGCAGCCGCGGUAAUACGGAGGGUGCAAGCGUUAAUCGGAAUUACUGGGCGUAAAGCGCACGCAGGCGGUCUGUCAAGUCGGAUGUGAAAUCCCCGGGCUCAACCUGGGAACUGCAUUCGAAACUGGCAGGCUUGAGUCUUGUAGAGGGGGGUAGAAUUCCAGGUGUAGCGGUGAAAUGCGUAGAGAUCUGGAGGAAUACCGGUGGCGAAGGCGGCCCCCUGGACAAAGACUGACGCUCAGGUGCGAAAGCGUGGGGAGCAAACAGGAUUAGAUACCCUGGUAGUCCACGCCGUAAACGAUGUCUACUUGGAGGUUGUGCCCUUGAGGCGUGGCUUCCGGAGCUAACGCGUUAAGUAGACCGCCUGGGGAGUACGGCCGCAAGGUUAAAACUCAAAUGAAUUGACGGGGGCCCGCACAAGCGGUGGAGCAUGUGGUUUAAUUCGAUGCAACGCGAAGAACCUUACCUGGUCUUGACAUCCACGGAAGUUUUCAGAGAUGAGAAUGUGCCUUCGGGAACCGUGAGACAGGUGCUGCAUGGCUGUCGUCAGCUCGUGUUGUGAAAUGUUGGGUUAAGUCCCGCAACGAGCGCAACCCUUAUCCUUUGUUGCCAGCGAUUAGGUCGGGAACUCAAAGGAGACUGCCAGUGAUAAACUGGAGGAAGGUGGGGAUGACGUCAAGUCAUCAUGGCCCUUACGACCAGGGCUACACACGUGCUACAAUGGCGCAUACAAAGAGAAGCGACCUCGCGAGAGCAAGCGGACCUCAUAAAGUGCGUCGUAGUCCGGAUUGGAGUCUGCAACUCGACUCCAUGAAGUCGGAAUCGCUAGUAAUCGUGGAUCAGAAUGCCACGGUGAAUACGUUCCCGGGCCUUGUACACACCGCCCGUCACACCAUGGGAGUGGGUUGCAAAAGAAGUAGGUAGCUUAACCUUCGGGAGGGCGCUUACCACUUUGUGAUUCAUGACUGGGGUGAAGUCGUAACAAGGUAACCGUAGGGGAACCUGCGGUUGGAUCACCUCCUUACCUUAAAGAA
Molecule: ribosomal RNA, 1512 nt
Filed under: Salmonella enterica subsp. enterica serovar Bovismorbificans
Lineage: Bacteria; Pseudomonadati; Pseudomonadota; Gammaproteobacteria; Enterobacterales; Enterobacteriaceae
Description: bacterial SSU rRNA
Rfam family: Bacterial small subunit ribosomal RNA
Source: RNAcentral